Molecule: ribosomal RNA, 351 nt
Filed under: uncultured bacterium
Lineage: Bacteria
Description: bacterial SSU rRNA
Rfam family: Bacterial small subunit ribosomal RNA
Source: RNAcentral
UCUAUGGAUGAAAGCGGGGGAUCGCAAGACCUCGCGCGAUUGGAGCGGCCGAUGUCAGAUUAGCUAGUUGGUGGGGUAAAGGCCCACCAAGGCGACGAUCUGUAGCUGGUCUGAGAGGACGACCAGCCACACUGGGACUGAGACACGGCCCAGACUCCUACGGGAGGCAGCAGUGGGGAAUUUUGGACAAUGGGCGCAAGCCUGAUCCAGCAAUGCCGCGUGCAGGAAGAAGGCCUUCGGGUUGUAAACUGCUUUUGUACGGAACGAAAAGGUCUGGGUUAAUACCCUGGGCUCAUGACGGUACCGUAAGAAUAAGCACCGGCUAACUACGUGCCAGCAGCCGCGGUAAUA